GAUGAACGCUGGCGGCGUGCCUAAUACAUGCAAGUCGAGCGAACAGAUGAGGAGCUUGCUCCUCUGACGUUAGCGGCGGACGGGUGAGUAACACGUGGAUAACCUACCUAUAAGACUGGGAUAACUUCGGGAAACCGGAGCUAAUACCGGAUAAUAUAUUGAACCGCAUGGUUCAGUAGUGAAAGACGGUUUUGCUGUCACUUAUAGAUGGAUCCGCGCCGCAUUAGCUAGUUGGUAAGGUAACGGCUUACCAAGGCAACGAUGCGUAGCCGACCUGAGAGGGUGGUCGGCCACACUGGAACUGAGACACGGUCCAGACUCCUACGGGAGGCAGCAGUAGGGAAUCUUCCGCAAUGGGCGAAAGCCUGACGGAGCAACGCCGCGUGAGUGAUGAAGGUCUUCGGAUCGUAAAACUCUGUUAUUAGGGAAGAGCAAAUGUGUAAGUAACUAUGCACGUCUUGACGGUACCUAAUCAGAAAGCCACGGCUAACUACGUG
This 497-nucleotide ribosomal RNA is filed under the name uncultured bacterium. RNAcentral describes it as "partial 16S ribosomal RNA". It matches the Rfam family "Bacterial small subunit ribosomal RNA", at positions 28 to 507 of the family's 1533-position model. The record is from RNAcentral.